Molecule: ribosomal RNA, 497 nt
Filed under: uncultured bacterium
Lineage: Bacteria
Description: partial 16S ribosomal RNA
Rfam family: Bacterial small subunit ribosomal RNA
Source: RNAcentral
GACGAACGCUGGCGGCGUGCCUAAUACAUGCAAGUUGAGCGCUGAAGGUUGGUACUUGUACCAACUGGAUGAGCAGCGAACGGGUGAGUAACGCGUGGGGAAUCUGCCUUUGAGCGGGGGACAACAUUUGGAAACGAAUGCUAAUACCGCAUAAAAACUUUAAACACAAGUUUUAAGUUUGAAAGAUGCAAUUGCAUCACUCAAAGAUGAACCCGCGUUGUAUUAGCUAGUUGGUGAGGUAAAGGCUCACCAAGGCGAUGAUACAUAGCCGACCUGAGAGGGUGAUCGGCCACAUUGGGACUGAGACACGGCCCAAACUCCUACGGGAGGCAGCAGUAGGGAAUCUUCGGCAAUGGACGGAAGUCUGACCGAGCAACGCCGCGUGAGUGAAGAAGGUUUUCGGAUCGUAAAACUCUGUUGGUAGAGAAGAACGUGGGUGAGAGUGGAAAGCUCAUCAAGUGACGGUAACUACCCAGAAAGGGACGGCUAACUACGUG